AGCAGCCGCGGUAAUUCCAGCUCCAAUAGCGUAUAUUAAAGUUGUUGCAGUUAAAAAGCUCGUAGUUGAAUUUUAGGCCUGGCCGGGCGGUCCGUCUUUGGCGAGUACUGUUCUGUGUCGGGUCUUACCUUCUGGUGAACCGGCAUGUUCUUUAUUGAGUGUACCGGGGAGCCAGGACCAUUACCUUGAAAAAUUAGAGUGUUUAAAGCAGGCAUUUGCUUGAAUAGAUUAGCAUGGAAUAAUAGAAUAGGACGUUGGUUCUAUUUUGUUGGUCUAGGACCACCGUAAUGAUUAAUAGGGAUAGUUGGGGGCAUUAGUAUUCAAUUGUCAGAGGUGAAAUUCUUGGAUUUAUUGAAGACUAACUAUUGCGAAAGCAUUUGCCAAGGAUGUUUUCAUUAAUCAAGAACGAAAGUUAGGGGAUCGAAGACGGUCAGAUACCGUCGUAGUCUU
RNAcentral lists this ribosomal RNA (450 nucleotides) under uncultured Archaeospora. RNAcentral describes it as "SSU rRNA". It matches the Rfam family "Eukaryotic small subunit ribosomal RNA", at positions 569 to 1027 of the family's 1831-position model. Lineage: Eukaryota; Fungi; Glomeromycota; Glomeromycetes; Archaeosporales; Archaeosporaceae. The record is from RNAcentral.